Ahaetulla prasina is the source of this 5915-nucleotide RNA transcript. It is a transcript of the gene named transmembrane protein 68-like, with no coding region annotated. The record is from RefSeq and is a predicted model, not a curated record. The transcript is spliced from 7 exons. NCBI's taxonomy places the organism in Eukaryota, Metazoa, Chordata, Lepidosauria, Squamata, Colubridae.
ACGAAAAUCUCCGAAGCGCGAUAAGAUAGGAGGCGUGAGGAAGGAAAGCAGGAGGAAAGCUGGGGUCUUUCGGGCGGCGAAGCGUUUCCUACCUUUGAAAGGUGGCGAGGGAAACGGACGGGCCGGUUUUCCUGGCUUGGCUGAGCCGGGUUAGUUAAUACCGGCCGGUGCUGUGGAGAGCACUGGCACUGGGUUCUUUUUGACUGACCGGCGUCGUUACACCUUCUGUGGCCUAAAGCCUCUCUCUCUCUUUCUCUCUCUCUCUUCCCACGGAGGUCCGGACCCUUCCCUGCCCGUCUGUCCUGGAAUUCUUCUCCGUGGCUCCCCCAUCCUCGGUCGGAAGAAAACCCUGCGGGUAUAAGCUGAAGGGAGGCGGCUCUGCUUCUUGAAAGGCUCCUAGGGCAAUUCGUUGUAAAGAGUCCCGAGGGUCUUCUUCGUCUGCCGCUGGGAGAAGAACCCUGCGGAUGCCGGAGUGAAGAAACGAUCGAAUUCAAAGCUUUGCGGGCCUUACUUUGGUAGGGUUUUGGUAGGAUCAAAGGGAAAAAAAAUGGAAUCCCUUCCCGCUGGUAUUGUCACUCCUCCUCAUCUCUCACCUUAGCUUUAGUAUUAAAAUGCAAAUUUACUCCUUUUCAGGACAGGUAAACCUGGAGAAAAAUUAGUACCAGACAGGUUUUUGAAGAGAGGAGAAGGAGAUGCUACAUCUGAUCAUAUUUCUUUCUUGAAAUUAAGCAUAUUCAUUAACCAGCUGUUGCCCUCCUGAUGUGUUGAAAGAUUACUUCUCCCCAGUGAACAUGACCAGCCAGUAAUCUCUGGUGGGUUUAGAAGUCUGGGAGAUGAUGUACUCAGAUGUUCUGAUGCACCUUUGAAUCAGUCUUGACUCCUAGUAAGGGCAUCUAUCAGAAGGAAUCUUAUAAUUUCCUGGUACAUGCAAAAAUUCUCCAAAGUAUUCUUGACAGGUAGCAAUCCAGUCUCUGUUCAAAAUGUGCCAACCAUAAACAAAUGUAUUAUUUAUAGUUUUCUGCAGGUUAUAAUCAACUUCUUGAUUGAUGUUGCUUUUGAUAGACUGUAGCCCACAAAAAAAAAUGUGGUAAUAAUUUGGAAAUCAUUAAGGUGGUUCUUUGUAGUUUUGCUGUAAAGAAGCAACCUUUUAAAACUCUUAUAGAUUAAGAAAAUUACGAGAAGUGAGGGCAUCUCAAAAACAUAUCACAAUUCAGACAGGAGGUUUUUACAGCUUUGACUUGCUUGAAUUGAACUAUGGUGUGUAAAUAUGCAUUUGUUUUUGUUUUUUUAAAAGCUAUGUUCUUACAUUUGUAGGGGUAUGGAGUUGACUUUUUAUAUAGUAUUCUUGGAUGUUAUAAGAAAGCUUUACACAAAACAUUUUAGAAAACUUUGUACUUAUAAUCAGUAGCUAAGAGUAGCUUAGCCAAGAGCUAAGCAAAUAUGUCAAGAUCUCAGAUUAUUUUUUCUCUGGUAAGAAUUGCUUGGCAAUUCUUGGCAAACUGACUGCAGUUUAUGUUUCAGUUGUUUACUAUGGAAGAUAGCAACUCUAUUUUCACUUGCCUGGAAGUUUUUAUUAAAUUUUAUUAUAUUUAAUAAUAAAUCUCUCUCUAUAUAAAUAUCUAUUAAUCUAGCUCAGUUUUCAAGAUAUGUACAUAGGUUUUCCCUGUGAAAAAUGUCUGAUGGUUCAAAUGAAGAAUUGAAAAGGAAAUUAGCAGGGCAAAUAUAUGAUAGUCUAAAAUGUUUAAAUGUCUUUAUUUAUUUUUUAUUUCCUUUUUUAAGAGAACAUGAUAAUCCAAAAAGAAUUCUGUGGUGCAGAGCAGAUAUCCGCAUCCUAUUUAAGAUACCUGCUUUAUUUGUUAGAAGAAUGGACAGGAGUGGGAUGCUUGGAAGAAUACCUGAAUUACCUGAUCAUAUGCCUCCUUAUACUACUACUUAUAGGUUUUCUACUUCCAACGGUCAUUUUCCUUUUCUUUGUUAUUACUGCUAUCAUUGUUCAUAUGUAUAAAAGAAAGACAGAUAUAAAUGAAGGUUAUUUGAAUGAUUUCUGGAAUGGUGUAAGACAAUUGUUGGCAACUGCAUGGUAUGUUCAUGCAAGAAUAUGGAAUGGUUACGAGGUGCAUGGCCUGGAAAAAUUACCAGAUGGACCAGCACUGAUUAUUCAUUAUCAUGGAGCAACUUUUUUAGACAUUUUGUACUUGUCAGUCAUUAUUUUUAUCAGGAAGAAAAAAAUCCUCCACAUAGUUGCUGAUCAUUUUAUCUUUUCAAUCCCAGGUAUGAAGUUAGUAUCUGAUGUAUUACAAAUUAUGCCUGGAUCCCAAGAAGAAUGUAGAAAAGUAUUAGAGAAUGGAGAAUUGUUGAUAAUUUCACCAGGGGGAGUACGGGAAGCACUAUUCAGUGAUGAAAAUUACACCAUUAUAUGGAGAAAUCGUAAAGGAUUUGCUCAAGUGGCCAUUGAUGCAAAAGUGCCCAUCAUUCCUACAUUCACACAGAAUAUUCGAGAAAAUAUUCGAAUAGUUGGAGGACAAAUAAAAUUAUUAAGAUCGAUAUAUGAGUAUCUUCGUUUGCCAAUAUUUCCGCUGUAUGGAAACUUUCCAGUUAAACUGCAGACAUAUUUUGGAGAUCCUAUUCCAUAUGAUCCAAACAUAACAGCAGAAGAACUAGCCAAAAAAAAAACUCUUUGACUGUCUGGUCUCUUUCUGAAAAUCUCCAGUGAUGGAACCCACAUAAUUUCUAAAUGUAAGACAUUCCAUGAAUAAUUCCAUGAACAUCUGUCUACCCUAGACGAGUUCAAAUCACCAGGAUCGGAUGGAUUACACUCCAGGGUUCUGAAGGAACUGGCAGACGAAAUCUCAGAACCACUGAACUAUAUCUUUCAAAGAUCCUGGAGCACAGGGGAACUGCCAGAGGACUGGAAAAGAGCUGAUGUAGUUCCCAUCUUCAAAAAAGGAAAAAAAAAACAGAUCCAGGAAACUACAGACCUAUCAGCCUAACCUCAAUACCAGGGAAGAUUCUGGAAAAGAUAAUCAAGCAACGAAUCACUGAACACCUAGAAGCAAAUAAAGUAAUAACCAAAAGCCAACAUGGGUUUGUCAAAAACAGAUCAUGCCAGACUAAUCUUAUUGCAUUCUUUGACAAAGUGACAAAAUUAGUGGACCAGAGGAAUGCUGCCAAUAUAAUUUACUUGGACUUCAGUAAAGCAUUUGAUAAAGUAGACCAUAACCUACUACUAGAUAAAGUAGAAAAAUGUGGGUUAGACAGCACCACCACCAGAUGAAUUCAUAACUGGCUGACCAACCGCACUCAACGUGUAGUCUUCAACGGAACUACAUCCACAUGGAGGGAAGUAUGCAGUGGAGUACCCCAAGGCUCUGUUUUAGGCCCAGUACUCUUCAACAUUUUCAUCAAUGACUUGGAUGAGGGAUAGAUGCAGAACUCAAUCAAAUUUGCAGAUGACACCAAGCUGGCAGGAAUAGCCAACACUCCAGAAGAUAGGCUCAAGAUACAGAAAGAUCUUGACAGACUUGAACAUUGGGCACUAUCUAACAAAAUGAAAUUCAACAGUGAAAAAGCAAAGAAUGCACUACGGUGUUUAAUAGACAAACAUCAGAAAAUACCAGGAAAUGUGUGGAGAGCUUUGAUGGAACGAGUUGCAACAGAGAAACAAGACAAUGAAUAACUUUGACAAAUCAUUGUGAAGAUAUUAUUUGAAUGAUAUUUUAAUGUAAUGUAUUUUUAAAUAAUUAUUAUAAUAUUUUUUAUUUGCUGUGCAAAUGUAUAAUUGUAUUAAAAAGUAGACUUUAAAAAUCAUUGUUACAUGUAUGGCUCAGGAAAGUACAAGUAGUCCUUGACUUACAACAAUUGUGCCCAAAAUUUCCAUUGCUAAGCAAGGCAGUUGUUAAGUGAAUUUUGCUCUAUUUUAUGACCUUUUUGCCAGAUUUGUUAAGUGAAUCACUGCAGUUGUUAAGUAAAUCACACAAUCGUUAAAUGAAUCCACUUUCUCCCAUUGAUUUGGCUUGUUAGAAGUUGUCUGGGAAGGUUACAAUAGUAAUCACGUGACUCCAGGACAGUGUAACUGUCAUAAAUUCAUGCAAGUAGCCAAGCAACCAAAUUUUGAUCACGUGACCAUGGUCAUAAGAGUGAAAAACUGUCAUAAGUUACUUUUUUCUGUGCUGUUGUAACUUUGGAUAGUCACUAAAUGAAUGUUGUAAGCUGUGGAUUACCUGUACCAGGGAUGGGUUACUACUUACCUUUAUUACUGGUUUGCAGCAGGCUCAUGUGCGCUUGCUUCUGUGCAUGUGCAGAAGCUUCCUGAUGAUGUCGGGGUGGGCGGAGCCUAACCCCGUUUUUACUACCUGUUUGCAAGAACCAGUCUGAACCGGUACAGGUCAGUGUACCUGUACAUCUUUUAAUAUUAGUACAACUGUUUUUUACAAACAUAAAACUAUAGUUUAAAAAUCACAAUCUUUUAUAUCCUUUAUAAGAUAUAAAAAAUAUUUUUUAGGCUUUUGGGAAAUGUAUCAAAUUUAUAAUUUAUUUCUAGUAUGUAAGAUUUAACUGUUUUGGACUAAAUUUGAUACUUUUCUUAAAAUUUGGAUUUCUUUUCUGUUGCAUGCAUUCUCCAGUGUAGUAGAGGUUGCCUUUAAUUUCUCUAUCAAAUUAAGCUGCUAUUGAUUCCUUUUUUUAUGAAAAGUAUUUAAAUUGGAUUAAAUAGGAAUGUACAUAAAAGGAGCCUUGGGUUGAUUAUAAUUUUAAAUAAUUUUAAAACUUGAAAUAACAUUUAACCUGGUGUCUGUAUUAGACACAUCAGGAAAUAUAAUAUAAUAUAAUUAUAUUAUAAUAUAACAGUAAAUAUAAGCAUCCCUGUCUUACUGUCCCCAUUCGUAUCCAUUUCCUGUAUUCAUAAUCACGUUUAUACUUAUAUCUGUUAUCUUAUACAUGCUUGAAAAAUGAAUAAAUAAAUAAAUAAAUAAAAUAAUUUUAUUAAAGUUUGUUCAGUUUAGGAGAAAAAAAUGAUUGCAAUGGAAGUUAUACCUGGACUCUGUAAUCCAUUGCUUUGGGGUAGGAUUGGGACAACUGAAUGGAGCUGAGCAUUUACUGCCCAGAUGUCCUUUCUUGAUGCCUACAUGGAGUUUGCAGCAGAUAUUUUCUCUUUGAGCCCUGAUAGAGAAACAUCUAUCGCUGUGUAGGAUUGAACUCUGAACCUUCCAAGUGGGAGGCAAGUGUCUUCACCUCUAGGCUGUUACACAGCUCUUUUUAAAGAUCUUUUUAAUGUGCUUAAUUUCUCUUAAGACAUUAAAAAGAAACUGUGCAAAGCAAAUUGGUAUUGUGACCUUUUGAUAAUUAUCAUGGCAAAUUGUACCCAGAAAAUAGUCACUACUGUAAUGAUUUGUGCAAAGUGUUAAAGAGAUAGAACAGUAAUCCAACAGAUAAAGAAGAGACCAAUGCUCAUAUUUAGGAAAACCAUUUCUGUUCAUUUAAAUUUUUAACAGUUUUUGAUUUUUUUUUAGUUCAGUUGUUGCAAAAUGCAUUGCUUUUACUUUAUUUUUAAUUUCAUUUAUUGUUUAAUUAUUUUCCUUCAUGAUGAUUAUUCAAUGUUUGGAUUAUUAAAAAGUGUUUGUAAGGCACUUCCAGGAGUGAAAUAAGAAACUGACAUAAAUAUCUUGAGAUCAUGAUUAUGGUUACUGCUGGAUAUUUUUUUUCUGAAUAAUGCUUUUAAAUCCCUUAAAUGAUAGUAACAUAUUGAAAUAUUGUUUUAUUUUUAAGAAUAUUUACAAAGAUAUUUAAUUGCAUUAUUCCAUAUUCUUUUCUUUAUUUCUAUCUCAUGUGAUGUAAAACAUCUAUUGAAUAAAACUGAAGUAACUAGAGAAUAUCUCCUAACAUAAUUAAAUUAGUAAUUAAAUUAAUUACUGUGUGCA